This 254-nucleotide ribosomal RNA is filed under the name uncultured bacterium. Its description in RNAcentral is "partial 16S ribosomal RNA". It matches the Rfam family "Bacterial small subunit ribosomal RNA", at positions 524 to 776 of the family's 1533-position model. The record is from RNAcentral.
UACGAGGGGAGCAAGCGUUGUUCGGAUUUACUGGGCGUAAAGGGCGCGUAGGCGGCCAGCACAAGUCAGUUGUGAAAUCUCCGAGCUUAACUCGGAAAGGUCAACUGAUACUGUGCGGCUAGAGUGCGGAAGGGGCAACUGGAAUUCUUGGUGUAGCGGUGAAAUGCGUAGAUAUCAAGAGGAACACCUGCGGCGAAGGCGGGUUGCUGGGCCGACACUGACGCUGAGGAGCGAAAGCGUGGGGAGCGAACAGG